Molecule: ribosomal RNA, 392 nt
Filed under: uncultured bacterium
Lineage: Bacteria
Description: bacterial SSU rRNA
Rfam family: Bacterial small subunit ribosomal RNA
Source: RNAcentral
GAAUUGCCUUUGAUACUGUCCAUCUUGAGUCCAGCUGAAGUAGGCGGAAUGUAGUAUGUAGCGGUGAAAUGCUUAGAUAUACUACAGAACACCCAUUGCGAAGGCAGCUUACUAAACUGGUACUGACGCUCAGGCACGAAAGCGUGGGGAGCAAACGGGAUUAGAUACCCUGGAUAGUCCACGCCCGUAAACGUUGAUCACUCGUUGUUGGCAAUACACCGUCAGCAACCCAGCUAACGCCGUAAGUGAUCCACCUGGGGAGUACGAUCGCAAGGUUGAAACUCAAAGGAAUUGACGGGGGCCCGCACAAGCGGAGGAGCAUGUGGUUUAAUUCGAUGAUACGCGAGGAACCUUACCUGGGCUUAAAUGUAGUGUGCAUAGGCGUGAAAACG